Chenopodium quinoa (quinoa) is the source of this 267-nucleotide long non-coding RNA. RefSeq lists it as uncharacterized. The transcript has 3 exons. NCBI's taxonomy places the organism in Eukaryota, Viridiplantae, Streptophyta, Magnoliopsida, Caryophyllales, Amaranthaceae. The record is from RefSeq and is a predicted model, not a curated record.
CACACUUGACAAAAUGUGGGAGUAUGUCCAAGAAAAAUAUAUGGUUCCUGAAGCUGGAAGAGAAUGGGUGAUGUAGGCUAUCAAUGGAAGCUGGAAAGCUCAUAAAUGCUUUACUAAGAGGAACUACUUCUCUGCAUAUCCCACUGAUGCUUUACGAUGGUUUCAUAAGCCAGACACAAUUUCAGAACCUCAAUUUAGAGAGCUUUUGCAAUACUGGCAUUCUAAAGAGGCUGAGGAAAUCAGUAAAAUCAACAAAGACAAUCGCCA